This 66-nucleotide transfer RNA is filed under the name Loripes lacteus. RNAcentral's name for it is "tRNA-Ser". Lineage: Eukaryota; Metazoa; Mollusca; Bivalvia; Lucinida; Lucinidae. The record is from RNAcentral.
GCGUCUAAUGGUAGCAGUAAUUGUUUUGAAAGCAAUUGACAAAGUGUUCGAUUCACUUAAGACGUU